RNAcentral lists this small RNA (528 nucleotides) under Pongo abelii (Sumatran orangutan). Its description in RNAcentral is "retained intron". Lineage: Eukaryota; Metazoa; Chordata; Mammalia; Primates; Hominidae. The record is from RNAcentral.
ACUGCGCUACGAAGUUUGGUGAUCCAUCUUCUGAGUAUCGCCGGAAUUUCGAAUCGCGAUGAUCAUCCCCUCUCUAGAGGAGCUGGACUCCCUCAAGUACAGUGACCUGCAGAACUUAGCCAAAAGUCUGGGUCUCCGGGCCAACCUGAGGGCAGACAAGUUGUUAAAAGCCUUGAAAGGCCACAUUAAACAUGAGGCAAGAAAAGGAAAUGAUAAUCAGGAUGAAAGUCAAACUUCUGCAUCCUCUUGUGAUGAGACUGAGAUACAGAUCAGCAACCAGGAACAAGCUGAGAGAGAGCCACUUGGCCAUGUCACCAAAACAAGGAGAAGGUGCAAGACUGUCCAUGUGGACCCUGACUCACAGGUGAAUGGAAAUAUACAAACUGAAAAUAUACCACCUAUGCCAAAAUUGGCAUACUUUUACGGAGAUUUCUUUUUAAAUUCCCAUGUGAUGUCAUGUGUUUGUAAGCUUGCUGUGUGCUGUAAGCUCCAUGAAAGCCCAGACCCAAGUCCAGCUGCUCAUCACUG